Molecule: transfer RNA, 60 nt
Filed under: Pariaconus pele
Lineage: Eukaryota; Metazoa; Arthropoda; Insecta; Hemiptera; Triozidae
Description: tRNA-Glu
Source: RNAcentral
CUUUUGUAGUUUAUAUUAAAAUAUCAUAUUUUCAAUCUGAAAAAGAAUUUUUCCAAAAGA